UACGGAGGGUGCAAGCGUUGUCCGGAUUUAUUGGGUUUAAAGGGUGCGUAGGCGGCUUUUUAAGUCAGUGGUGAAAUCCAACAGCUCAACUGUUGAACUGCCAUUGAUACUGGAGAGCUUGAGUACAGACGAGGUAGGCGGAAUUUAUGGUGUAGCGGUGAAAUGCAUAGAUACCAUAAAGAACACCGAUUGCGAAGGCAGCUUACUAGGCUGUAACUGACGCUGAGGCACGAAAGUGUGGGGAUCAAACAGG
This 253-nucleotide ribosomal RNA is filed under the name uncultured bacterium. Its description in RNAcentral is "partial 16S ribosomal RNA". It matches the Rfam family "Bacterial small subunit ribosomal RNA", at positions 524 to 776 of the family's 1533-position model. The record is from RNAcentral.